Molecule: non-coding RNA, 457 nt
Organism: Equus caballus (horse)
Lineage: Eukaryota; Metazoa; Chordata; Mammalia; Perissodactyla; Equidae
Source: RefSeq, a predicted model, not a curated record
GCAGGCCGGAAGCUCAUUGGCCUUUGUGGAAAGGGCGGGAAAGGGAGCGAGCACUGGGUCUUCCCUCAGGCCUCUGGUGCGGAGCCCACUGAUUCCGACCUGCCGAAGGCUGAGAACCAUGGAUCCCAAUGAAAUGCCUGCUGUGCACUGCUGCCCCUCUGACUCCACCAAAGGGCUUGGGACUGGAUUCCCAUGGGGGAUUAAAAUUGUUCCCAGAAGAGCUAUAAUUCUCUGUGCCCGCUGCCACAACCAUGGCAUCACUGACCAAAUCAAGGACCAUGAGCACUGCUGCCUCUUCCAGACCUGCAAGUGUCACAAGUGUGUCCGCUUCUCGCAACACUGCACGGUCUCGCCUGCUGAGAGUGCCUUGAAGAGGGAGCAGAGGGUACACCUAAAGAGGCACCUGGCUCAAGGACUGAUAAGGAGUGGGGCCGCCCCUCCCAAAGCUCACCGCCGU